This 524-nucleotide ribosomal RNA is filed under the name Photobacterium damselae subsp. piscicida. RNAcentral describes it as "bacterial SSU rRNA". It matches the Rfam family "Bacterial small subunit ribosomal RNA", at positions 19 to 522 of the family's 1533-position model. Lineage: Bacteria; Pseudomonadati; Pseudomonadota; Gammaproteobacteria; Vibrionales; Vibrionaceae. The record is from RNAcentral.
CUGGCUCAGAUUGAACGCUGGCGGCAGGCCUAACACAUGCAAGUCGAGCGGCAGCGACUUAACUGAACCUUCGGGGAACGUUAAGGGCGGCGAGCGGCGGACGGGUGAGUAAUGCCUGGGAAUAUGCCCUGAUGUGGGGGAUAACUAUUGGAAACGAUAGCUAAUACCGCAUAAUCUCUUCGGAGCAAAGAGGGGGACCUUCGGGCCUCUCGCGUCAGGAUUAGCCCAGGUGGGAUUAGCUUGUUGGUGAGGUAAUGGCUCACCAAGGCAACGAUCCCUAGCUGGUCUGAGAGGAUGAUCAGCCACACUGGAACUGAGACACGGUCCAGACUCCUACGGGAGGCAGCAGUGGGGAAUAUUGCACAAUGGGGGAAACCCUGAUGCAGCCAUGCCGCGUGUGUGAAGAAGGCCUUCGGGUUGUAAAGCACUUUCAGUAGGGAGGAAGGUAGUGUAGUUAACACCUGCAUUAUUUGACGUUACCUACAGAAGAAGCACCGGCUAACUCCGUGCCAGCAGCCGCGGUA